Molecule: ribosomal RNA, 461 nt
Filed under: uncultured bacterium
Lineage: Bacteria
Description: bacterial SSU rRNA
Rfam family: Bacterial small subunit ribosomal RNA
Source: RNAcentral
AUUGAACGCUAGCGGCAUGCCUUACACAUGCAAGUCGAACGGCAGCGCGGGGGNAACCCUGGUGGCGAGUGGCGAACGGGUGAGUAAUGCAUCGGAACGUGCCCAUCGGAUGGGGGAUAACUGCGCGAAAGCGUUGCUAAUACCGCAUACGACCUACGGGUGAAAGCAGGGGACCGCAAGGCCUUGCGUCGAUGGAGCGGCCGAUGCCGGAUUAGCUAGUUGGUGAGGUAAAGGCUCACCCAAGGCGACGAUCCGUAGCUGGUCUGAGAGGACGACCAGCCACACUGGGACUGAGACACGGCCCAGACUCCUACGGGAGGCAGCAGUGGGGAAUUUUGCGCAAUGGGGGAAACCCUGACGCAGCAACGCCGCGUGGAGGAUGAAGUCUCUUGGGACGUAAACUCCUUUCGAUCGGGACGAUUAUGACGGUACCGGAAGAAGAAGCCCCGGCUAACUUCGUG